RNAcentral lists this ribosomal RNA (784 nucleotides) under uncultured Neocallimastigales. RNAcentral describes it as "partial large subunit ribosomal RNA". It matches the Rfam family "Eukaryotic large subunit ribosomal RNA", at positions 26 to 629 of the family's 3401-position model. Lineage: Eukaryota; Fungi; Neocallimastigomycota; Neocallimastigomycetes; Neocallimastigales. The record is from RNAcentral.
CGCAUCUGUGCAUGCAGCAUAUCAAUAAGCGGAGGAAAAGAAACUAACAAGGAUUCCCUUAGUAACGGCGAGUGAAGCGGGAAGAGCUCAAAUUUGAAAUCUUCAAGGUUUUACCUUGACGAGUUGUAGUUUAAAGAAGUGUUUUCUGCUGAAGUUUUGGUAAAAGUUCUUUGGAAUAGGACAUCAUAGAGGGUGAGAAUCCCGUAUUUGACCAUUAUUUUCAAGCUUUGUGAUACACUUUCAAAGAGUCGGAUUGUUUGGGAAUGCAGUCCAAAAUGGGUGGUAAAUUUCAUCUAAAGCUAAAUAUUGGCGAGAGACCGAUAGCGAACAAGUACCGUGAGGGAAAGAUGAAAAGAACUUUGAAAAGAGAGUUAAACAGUACGUGAAAUUGUCAAAAGGGAAGCGUUUGACACCAGUGUUGUUUUCUCGAAAAUCAAUUAAAGAAUGCUCGAUUUAUGUAAUUGCUGUAGACCUUAUAAGCUCAUCUGUACAGUUUUCGUGUCUUUUUUAAUGCACUUUUCAGUUUAACAAGUCAACAUCAAUUUCUUUUGUUGUAAAAAGGGUCAUUGGAAGGUGGCUUCUUUCGAGAUGUAUAAGUGUUUAUAGCCUUUGGCCUCUGCAGUCGGAGAGACUGAGGUCUGCAGCGUAGACUCUUCGGGGUUAGAUAGCAUUUGUGCUAAGUUAUAGCAUUUUAUAGACAACUUGUUGACUAUGAUUAGUCUUGUAGCUUACUCGCUUAUGCUAUUUUACCUACGCUUAGGAUGUUGAUAGUCACAGCGUGUAC